Molecule: long non-coding RNA, 2610 nt
Organism: Olea europaea var. sylvestris
Lineage: Eukaryota; Viridiplantae; Streptophyta; Magnoliopsida; Lamiales; Oleaceae
Exons: 2
Source: RefSeq, a predicted model, not a curated record
GGAGCUCAGACAAGGGCCAAGUAUUAUUUAUUAAAAAUUAGAGAAAUCUCACAAAGUAAAGCUGAAGUUUAUAUCGAAUAAAACUUACUUCCGUUCAUUGGAGUUCAAUAGGACUAAACAAGAGAUAAUGCCAAACGGUGAAGAGGAUGACAUAUCUGUAACAAAAAACUAAAAAUGGGGCUUGUUGUAGAAUUACUACAUUGUUCCUAUGUUAGGAGAAAGAUGCUUCAGAAUAUUUUGAUUUUUUUGCUGAUAUGAUAAAAAUUAAGAGGAAAUCUUGGAGCCAUCCUAGAAGGUUAGUUUCAUUACAUUUAAAAAGUUGUGAGGAGCUCUUUUAAGGCUCUGAAGUUUUUUAUUUAUUCUUGCUUAACCAACAUAUAUAGAGGUGAUAGGAAACGACCUCUUUUGGAGAAAAACUAAUCAAGUUGGGUGAGGGUGGGUCAACAGAUAAGGUGGUGACUCCUCAUUCGACGGUCGCACCACGUAGGACGGUGUGACCAUCCCACUAAAGUUUUUCUCAUUCUUUUGUGUAGGGGGGAAGAGGAUGUUGGGAUAGAUGAAGGAAAGGGGUGGAAGAGACUCAGAAAUCACGAGAGUCAUAAAGUAUAAAUUUGAAUUUAAGGAAAACUAAGUCUAGAUAAUUUUUGUCUUUACUUUUAAGUAGGAAAAUGUUUCGAAAAGUUGUUGUAGUUUGUGAAACAUGUUUAAUAGCUCCACGCUUCCUGUCUCCUCGAAAUAUUACUCAUACGAUUGUUAAUUGUACUAGUAUAUAUGUAUUGCCUUUUUUAACCUGUUAUGCGAAUACAGGUAUACACCUCCUUUUUCGAAUCUGUUAAGAAAGUGAAAAAUUGAUGUCUUAUAAAUAAGAUAAUCAUGCGCGAAUAUUUCAUUUGGGAAUCCUGACAUUUUCUAUUUCAUGCUCAUCACUAGUUGAUAACCAGUGCAACACGCAGGAGAAUAUAAAACCACAAGAAGUAAAAUAAAUAAUCUUUUUUUAUGAUAAAUUCACAGGAAAAAGUAAAAACUCAGAUACCAAGUUUUAACUGCAAUACCAAAUCUCCAAAGCCUUAUCAUGCCUUCAUAGAAUCCUUUUGCCACUCAGCUUUCGUUUCCUACGCAAAUAAAAACAUGCACCACUUCGCUUUUUUUUUUUUUUACAUUGAUGCUUAUCUCCGUGUAAUCUUGAUUUCGGAACUGCCUGAAUAAGAUUUGCAAGAUAAGUGGACACAUUUUUCAUUUCAUAAAUCAAGUUCUUUGUACCCCUAUUUUAUUGAAGUUUAUAUAAUGUCUGAUCCAUAUAUUUUUCAACAUGUGUCUAGUGAUAUCACCGUGUAAUAUAUUUCUUCAUAAAAAUAAUUGUAAGACUAUCAUUAUGACCCUUCAAUGAUAUAUUUGGAUAUUACUUUUUAGAAAAGGAUAUUGCUACAUGUACAUCAAGCUUUAUAUAAUGGAUUACAUUAUAUCACAUGUCAUGAUAUCAUUCGUCAGUUAAAUCAUAGUGAAUUUUUUCGUCCAAUCUUUUCUCUUCACAUCAUUUUUUGUAAUCCCUUGUGUACCCCUAAUAUAUUGAAGUUUUAUAAUGUCCGAUCCAUAUGUUUUUCAACAUGUGUCGAGUGAUAUUACCGUGUAAUAUAUUUUUUCAUAAAAAGAAUUGUAAGACUGUCAUUAUGACCCUUCAAUGAUAUAUUUGGGUAUCACCUUUUAGAAAAGGAUAUUGUUAUAUGUACAUCAAACUUUACAUAAUGGGUUACAUUAUACCACAUGUCACGAUAUCAUUCGUUAGUUUAAAUCAUAGUCAAUUUUUUCAUCCAAUAUUUUCUCUUCACAUCAUUUUAUGUAAUCCCUUAGUGCAAUUUUUAUGUACAUGUAGCAUGAUCCUUCAAAAAAAUGAUGCAAUUUCAUUUUCUAAUAUAAAAUAUUUCAUUUACGAAGUACUAACUGUGUGGUAAUUAAAAUAACAAAAAUAUUCAUUGCUAUGCUGCUACUGAUUAAAUAUUGAGCUGUGUGUGAAUAAUAUUAUUUGUCAUGCUAAUGGUCAGAUAUGAGCUUCAUGCCAUUCGACUAGAAAAACUAAAAGAGCUUAGAGCAGAGAACGGAACUGUCUCAAAUACUAGUGCAUGUGAACUUGAAAUGUCAGAAGCAAAACACACAAUAUCUAUGGAGCCUGCAACUUCCAUGGAAAGAAACUCAGAUGGCGCUCAAAGCUGAAAUCGAGGAAGAGAUAAUUUGGCAGCGACUGGGGAAAAUGCAAAGAUAUUUGACGCUCAGGAAAAAAAAAAAAAAUACUCACUCAGUUGUUAGGAAAAAUCUAAACGGACAGGGCAACGUGGACGUACAUGUGCUCCCCCCUGGACGGACAGGGCCUACGUUGCCUUGUCCGUGUAGCAGGCCUCCAGUUGUUAAUCUGCCAAGGGAAGACCUCAAGGUGAUUUACCGGGGAAAUUAUAACAAAGCCUUACCAGGCAGAUGACCUGAGUUCGAGUUUCCUUUUGGGAGGGCGAAAUCCUGUGAUUCCCUUUCUAGGGACAAAAGGUCGUAUGGCUUAGAUAAUUGGUUUUGCUGAAAAUAACAAGAAUUAUUAUCCGCAUAGCUAAUUUUUAGUUCUCUCUC